RNAcentral lists this ribosomal RNA (498 nucleotides) under uncultured bacterium. Its description in RNAcentral is "bacterial SSU rRNA". It matches the Rfam family "Bacterial small subunit ribosomal RNA", at positions 30 to 523 of the family's 1533-position model. The record is from RNAcentral.
AUUGAACGCUGGCGGCAUGCCUUACACAUGCAAGUCGAACGGUAACAGGUCUUCGGAUGCUGACGAGUGGCGAACGGGUGAGUAAUACAUCGGAACGUGCCCGAUCGUGGGGGAUAACGCAGCGAAAGCUGUGCUAACACCGCAUACGAUCUACGGAUGAAAGCGGGGGAUCGCAAGACCUCGCGCGGACGGAGCGGCCGAUGGCAGAUUAGGUAGUUGGUGGGAUAAAAGCUUACCAAGCCGACGAUCUGUAGCUGGUCUGAGAGGACGACCAGCCACACUGGGACUGAGACACGGUCCAGACUCCUACGGGAGGCAGCAGUAGGGAAUAUUGGACAAUGGGCGCAAGCCUGAUCCAGCCAUGCCGCGUGAGUGAAGAAGGCCCUCGGGUUGUAAAGCUCUUUUGUCCGGAAAGAAAAGCGCCGGGUUAAUACCCUGGUGUCCUGACGGUACCGGAAGAAUAAGCACCGGCUAACUUCGUGCCAGCAGCCGCGGUAA